GGCAGAGGGUGGGAGGAGACGGGCUGGCCGAGGGGCAGAGAAAAGGCAGGAAGGAAGCUGAUAUAAAAAAAAAAAAAUCUAUCUUGAGAAACAAUUCCUCUCCAUCUUUAAACCUAUGAAACUCAAAAAAUAAAAUCUGCUCUUGAAAUCUAAUGAUUAGACAGGCAUAGAAUACCAGUUAUAGACAUUCUGGCUAAAAGGGGAGAAAAUUUAAAGGAAAAAAGAAGUCACUAGUUCAAAAUAUUUUCAAAAUUCAGCUGUUUAAACUUCCUUUGUAUUACAUAAAAUUAAUUAUUAUUAUAUAAAUAUUAUUUUAUUUAAUGAUGGGAUUAUAGUAUUUCUUUGUGUGUGUAAUAAAACUUGAAACAACCUUACAACAAAUUUAAUUGCUUAAUCCUUACCUUCCUCUGAGUUAACCUGACAAGUAAACUUUGAUUGGUUUUUUCUAUAAGUAUUUUAGACAUUAAGUUGCCACAUAUUACAUGUUUAUUUUGGUUUAGCUGUGUGUUCCUGGGAUCAAUCUAGCACCAGCUUUCUUUACUGAUAUCUGACUAAAUAUUCUCAGAAUUGGAUNAUGUUAAAUCUUUUUUUUUUUUUUUUUUUUUUUUUUUUUUUUUGUCUUUUUAGGCCACAGGCUGGGGUCGAAUCGGAGCUGUUGCUGCUGGCCUACGCUAGAGCCACAGCAAGGCCAGAUCUAGCCAUGUCACGGCAACACCUGAUCCUUAAACCUACUGAGCAUGGCCAGGGAUUGAACCCUCAAUCUCAUGGUUCUAGUUGGAUUCGUUUCCUCUGUGCCACGACAGGAACUCCAGAAUUGGAUACCUUUAAUAUCUUCAUGGAAACUUCAUUUUGGCCUUUUGUCAAGGUCCUUAGGCAUUUGUCUACCUUGAGAGUUCCAGAAGCAACAACAUUGACAUUAACCCAUAUGGGGACCUUAGUUGAGGAGGAGGUGGCAGUACAGCAGUGGGAAGAGGACAGAUCUGUUAAUUUUUGCAUCUAUAGUUCUAUUUUUGGUAGUUUACUUAGAAAGUCACCUCCUAUCUGACUUUAUAAUGUCUUGUCCUAUUGUUUUAAUCACAGUACUAUUAAGACCUUAUUCUUAACUUUACGUUUUUUUAAUUCAGUGAAUUUUAUGUUUAUAGUUGUAUAAUCACUAUCACAACCUAAUUUUAGAACAUUUCCAUCUGAAACUCCCAGUCCAUCUCUCCCCCUCAGUCUUUCCCCUUUAGUAAGCACAAGUUUUUCAAAGUCUGUGGAUCUGUUUCUUUUCUGCAAAUAGGUAUUUUUUUUUUUUUUUUUUGGUCUUUGCUAGGGCCGCACCCAUGGCAUGUGGAGGUUCCCAGGCUAGGGGUCUAAUUGGAGCUGUAGCCACCAGCCUAUGGCACAGCCACAGCGAUGAGGGAUCUGAGCCACAUCUGCAACCUACACCACAGCUCAUGGGAAUGCCGGAUCCUUAACCCACUGAGUGAGGCCAGGGGCUGAAUCCUCAACUUCAUGGUUCCUAGUUGGAUUUGUUAACCACUGAGCCAUGACAGGAACUACUCAUUUUAGAUUCCACAUAUAAGUGUUUUAGCAUGUGAUGUUUGUCUCUCAUUGUCUGACUAACUUCACUUUAGCAUUAUAAUUUUUAGGCCCAUACAUGUUGCUGUAAAUGCCAUUAUUUCAUUCUUUUUUAUGGCUGAGUAAUAUGCCAUGGUAUAUAUGUAUCUCAUCUUCCUUAUCCACUCCUCUUUCGAUGGAAAUUUAGCUUUCUUCCAUUUCUUGGCUAUUGUGUACAGCACUACAAUGAACAUUGAGAUAUAUGUAUUUUUUUGAGUGAUGGUUUCCUCCAGAUAGAUGCCCAGGAGUGGGAUCAUAUGGUAGUUCUAUUUUUAGUUUUUUGAGGAACCCCCAUACUAUUUUCCAUAUUGGUUGUACCAUUUUACAUCCCUACAAACAGUGUAGGAGGGUUUCCUUUUCUCCACACCCUCUCCAGCAUUUUUUGUUUGUAGACUUUUUGAUGAUGGCCAUUCUGGCUGACCUCAUUGUAGUUUUGACUGAUAUUUCUAAAAUAAUUAGUGAUAUUGAGCACCAUUUCACGUUUUUUUUUUUUUUUUUUUUGGUGGGGGGCAUCCCUAUACCUUCUUUGGAGAAAUGUCUGUUUAUAUCUGCCCAUUUUUUAAUUUUUUUUUUCAUAUUGAGAUGCAGGACAUGUUUUUAUAUUUUGGAGAUUAAUCCCUUGUGAGGCACUUCAUUUGCAAAUAUUUUCUCCCAUUCUGUGAGUUGUCUUUUUGUUGAGGGUUUCCUUUGCUGUGCAAAAACUUUUAAGUUUAUAUUUUAACUUUAUAUUUUAUUUCAUCAGGAAUUAAUUUUAUUAUAUACUGUCUACCAAUAUCAUUUAUUAAAAAUUCCAUUGGUUUGCUAACUGAUCUGAGAUACUUCCUAUAUCAUGCAUUUAAUACAUGUUCUUGGGCGUGUUUCUGAUUUUUAUAUGUUGUUAUACUGAUGCUUAUGUCAGUAUCAUAAUGUUUUAAUUACUAUAUCUUUAGGAUAUAAGUUAAUAUUUUAUACAGCUAGGCCCUCAAAUUAUCCUUCCGGUAAUGUUUUUGCAAUUCUCAUAUUUUUCUGCUGUUGUUCUCCAAAUUAACUUAUGUAUCAUUUUGCAAAAUUCUGAAGAAAAAUCCCUUUGGUGUUUUGGAUAGCUUAUACAAAUGUGUUGAUUAACUCUGGGAAAAAUGUAUCUCUUUAUGUUACUAGCUCCUUUAAUUCAGUACUGUAAUAAGAUGCUACACAUCAUAUUUGAGCCUUAAUUUACUAUCUUAUUAAAGCUUUUAAUUUUCUGUGUUUGUCAGUAUUGAAAUUAGUUAUCUUUCUCUCUGUAUAUCAUACUUUUCUUUGUUAUUUUGAAUAAUUUUUUUUCUUUCUGACAGAUUCUAAAUUUAAAUUGCUAUUGAGCUGUUAAUUCUUGAUUAUUUUUUGACUCUCUUUUACUCAUUAUAUAAUUGUUGUAAUAUUUCAGAUGAUUCAGGUGAUUAUUUUAGGCUUUCCAAGUAAAAAGUAUAUGAUAUAUAAGGGUAGUUCUGCAUUUGUCUCUUUGUUUUAAAUAACUGUAGCCAUAAAGCGUUCUUAUUUUAUGAAAAUUAAGUAGAAUAUUUGUGUUUAUUAAUAGAAGUGACUCCAGAGUUUCAUAAUUAAAAUUUUGUUUUUUGGGGGUUCUCAUUGCGGCUUAGCAGGUUAUAAACCCUAUUAGUAUCCAUGAGAAUGUGGGUUCAAUUCUUGGCCUUGCUUAGUGGGUUAAAGAUCCGGCAUUGCCUUGAGCUGUAGUGAAGGUCGCAGAUGCAGAUAGGAUCUGGUGUUGCUGUGGCUGUGGUAAAGGCUGACAGCUGGAGCCUGGAAUCAAUCCAUAGGCCAGGAACUUCCAUAUGCUGCAAGUGCAGCCCUCAAGAGCAAAAUACAUACACACAUACAUAAAUAUUAAAAAAAUAAAACUGUGUUUCUGUGUUAAGAUAGUUUUUUU
This 3496-nucleotide long non-coding RNA is filed under the name Sus scrofa (pig). RNAcentral describes it as "lncRNA (ENSSSCG00040070021.1)". Lineage: Eukaryota; Metazoa; Chordata; Mammalia; Artiodactyla; Suidae. The record is from RNAcentral.